This 65-nucleotide transfer RNA is filed under the name Sceloporus orcutti. RNAcentral describes it as "tRNA-Cys". Lineage: Eukaryota; Metazoa; Chordata; Lepidosauria; Squamata; Phrynosomatidae. The record is from RNAcentral.
AGCUUCGAGGUGUUUACACAUCAAAUUGCAAGUUUGAAGUAGGGCCCAAGAGUGCCCCGGGGCUU